This 298-nucleotide small RNA is filed under the name Drosophila virilis. RNAcentral describes it as "GJ26054". Lineage: Eukaryota; Metazoa; Arthropoda; Insecta; Diptera; Drosophilidae. The record is from RNAcentral.
UAUUUGCACGAAACACAUCUUAAAUAAUUUUGGAAAAAAUGUGUUUUUCGUUUUUCAAUAAGAAACGACCACAGCUGUGAUACAAGUUAUGCUUCUUCUUAAACUCUCCGCCGUGGCUAGGUUAGGUCUAGGCUAGGUUAGGUCGCUUGAUAAGGGUCUGCCAAGAGGCAAAAUGUCACAUUAUGGAGAGUGAUUACUGUGUAAUAUGUCGACAGUGUUAAAUAUUGAAAUUUGAUAAAGUGUAUCAAAAUUGUGUUGUAUUGUGUAUGUAAGCAAAAAUAUAUAAAUAUAAUGUGCA